GAUGAAGAACGUAGCGAAAUGCGAUACUUGGUGUGAAUUGCAGAAUCCCGUGAACCAUCGAGUCUUUGAACGCAAGUUGCGCCCGAAGCCAUUAGGCCGAGGGCACGCCUGCCUGGGCGUCACACGUCGUUGCCCCCCCAUCUACUCCUUCGGGAUUGCGGGGGGGCGGAUGAUGGCCUCCCGUGCGCCUAGCCGCGCGGUUGGCAUAAAUACCAAGUCCUCGGCGACGCACGCCACGACAAUCGGUGGUUGCGAAACCUCGGUUGCCCGUCGUGUGCGUUCGUCGCGCAUCGAGGGCUCGAAAAAAUGCUCGGCUCCGGCUGGGCUUUCAACGCGACCCCAGGUCAGGCGGGGUUACCCGCUGAAUUUAAGCAUAUCAAUAAGCGGAGGA
This 391-nucleotide unclassified non-coding RNA is filed under the name soil metagenome. RNAcentral describes it as "partial contains 5.8S ribosomal RNA, internal transcribed spacer 2, and large subunit ribosomal RNA". The stretch from base 1 to 122 matches the Rfam family "5.8S ribosomal RNA", at positions 35 to 154 of the family's 154-position model. The record is from RNAcentral.